CGCCUGUCUCAGAACGUGUCUGAUGGGCUGUCAUGUGGUAAGGAGAGCGAGCCUGCUCUGUGCGGCCGCAGGGACCGGAACAAGACAGACGGAAGGCGGCGACAGGCCAACAGAUGCAGAUUCGGGAAGGAGACUUAUCAGAGCCGCCCAGCCGUGGCCGGGAGUCACAGCUAACAUUUGUCGAGCCGGCACGCUGUGCCAGGGACCGGGCUGAGCCCUCUGCGCACCCGGCCCUACGUGCUGCUUAGAACGCCCAGGAGCGAGGCCGACAUCACGGGCGUCGUACGCAUUCCUACCGUGGGGACAGGCACAGAGCGCGUCGGCGGCGCGCCCGACGCCGCUCCGUCCUCUGAGAAGCUGGGAUCGGCGCUCUGGCCGCGACGCCAGGUCCUGCCCCUGGUGACCGUCACAGCUCCGAUCUGGGAUGAAAACAUCAGAGUCCAAGUGAUUUCCCGCAGGAAUCAUCAGCACAGAAUCCGGAUUCUGGCCCAGAAAUUGCCAUCUCCUGCCAUGGUGACCUGAAGACUUUCACUUUGCAGAAAGGCGCUCAGCGGAGGCCGCCGAUGCUGUGUCCACCAGACAGAGAGCGGUUUCCUCUCCCAGAUCUCCUGGUAGGAGCCCCGAUCCUGGGCAUUGGGGCUGCGCGCACGACCUAAUCACCUCCGAGGGCCAUCACAUCGGGCGCCCAGCCCCUGUGGACAAGCACCCCUGUUCUGGGACAGCCACGUCAUCCAAAGGACCCCGACACCUGGUCUAGAGAAGCUCAUGGGGGUGAGCUCUGCCGCAGGACAGGAUGAGGCAGGGGACGGGGGGCGGGCGGCGGCCCGUGCGGGAUGUGUCUGCAGCUCUGCGUGCUUUGCUGGGGUCCCGCUCCGUCCUCUUCACCGCUCCUGGGUGAGACCCCAACAUGCCCCUUCUCACGUGUAGUCACUGGGGCUGCAGGGUGUGGUGGUGGCUGCAGCGGCGGGAGCCCAGCUCCGUCCGGGUGUCCAGGCUCGGACCCGCAGUCCCCGGAGGCUGAUGCCAUGUGGCCACCUGCAGGGUGUACCCGGCGUGGGGCCGUGUUUCUGUCACGGAAGAGGUCCCUGCAUGGUCCCGAGGCCCUGUUCCCCUCUGUCCCCGCCCCACGUGGUGAAGGACUUGCCCACUCUCGGACAGCUCUGUCCUCCACCCCCAUACCUCCCCGGGUGAGCCUGGCUUUGCUGUGAUGGAUUUCUUUUCAUAUAAAAUUUAGGAAGUCUUAGGAGGGAGGGAGGGUUGACCUUUCAAACACACAGGAAUGUUUGUUCCCAUCACUCCCGGCAGAGUGAUGGGAAGUGAGGAGGGGGACUCGUCCCGUCGCCGGAUACGCAGGAGCUGAGCCAGCGUCCACACUGCCUGGGACACCAGCCCUGGGUUCCAGGGCACCUCCCUCCCUCUGCCUUCUGGCAAGGCUCUCUUUUGGGCUGUUUUCUGUCCCCUGGUGACAUCUGUGGGGGCAGUGCCUCCCACGGACAUGCCCCGCAGAGGAGAGCCCCGUCAAUCUAGAGUAAGUCACUUGGGGUUUUCCAGACCAAGAAGACCAC
Mustela erminea (ermine) is the source of this 1565-nucleotide long non-coding RNA. RefSeq lists it as uncharacterized. The record is from RefSeq and is a predicted model, not a curated record. NCBI's taxonomy places the organism in Eukaryota, Metazoa, Chordata, Mammalia, Carnivora, Mustelidae. The transcript is spliced from 3 exons.